Molecule: ribosomal RNA, 433 nt
Filed under: uncultured bacterium
Lineage: Bacteria
Description: partial 16S ribosomal RNA
Rfam family: Bacterial small subunit ribosomal RNA
Source: RNAcentral
AACGAACGCUGGCGGCAUGCCUAACACAUGCAAGUCGAACGAGACCUUCGGGUCUAGUGGCGCACGGGUGCGUAACGCGUGGGAACCUGCCCUUAGGUUCGGAAUAACUCCCCGAAAGGGGUGCUAAUACCGGAUAAUGUCUUCGGACCAAAGAUUUAUCGCCUUUGGAUGGGCCCGCGUUGGAUUAGCUAGUUGGUAGGGUAAAAGCCUACCAAGGCGACGAUCCAUAGCUGGUCUGAGAGGAUGAUCAGCCACACUGGGACUGAGACACGGCCCAGACUCCUACGGGAGGCAGCAGUGGGGAAUAUUGGACAAUGGGCGAAAGCCUGAUCCAGCAAUGCCGCGUGAGUGAUGAAGGCCUUAGGGUUGUAAAGCUCUUUUACCCGGGAUGAUAAUGACAGUACCGGGAGAAUAAGCUCCGGCUAACCCCGCG